GUCUACAGCCACACCACCCUGAACACAUUCAACCCUGUCUGAUCUCAGAAGCUAAGCAGGGUCAAGCCUGCUUGAAGACAGGGUUGAAUGUUUUGAAGUAUUUGGAUGGCAGGCC
Molecule: ribosomal RNA, 115 nt
Organism: Gorilla gorilla gorilla (western lowland gorilla)
Lineage: Eukaryota; Metazoa; Chordata; Mammalia; Primates; Hominidae
Source: Ensembl